AGCGAACGCUGGCGGCAGGCCUAACACAUGCAAGUCGAACGAAGUCUUCGGACUUAGUGGCGGACGGGUGAGUAACACGUGGGAACGUGCCUUUAGGUUCGGAAUAACUCAGGGAAACUUGUGCUAAUACCGAAUGUGCCCUUCGGGGGAAAGAUUUAUCGCCUUUAGAGCGGCCCGCGUCUGAUUAGCUAGUUCGUGAGGUAAAGGCUCACCAAGGCGACGAUCAGUAGCUGGUCUGAGAGGAUGAUCAGCCACAUUGGGACUGAGACACGGCCCAAACUCCUACGGGAGGCAGCAGUGGGGAAUCUUGCGCAAUGGGCGAAAGCCUGCCGCAGCCAUGCCGCGUGAAUGAUGAAGGUCUUAGGAUUGUAAAAUUCUUUCACCGGGGACGAUAUGACGGUACCCGGAGAAGAAGCCCCGGCUAACUUCGUGCCAGCCGCCGCGGUAA
Molecule: ribosomal RNA, 448 nt
Filed under: uncultured bacterium
Lineage: Bacteria
Description: partial 16S ribosomal RNA
Rfam family: Bacterial small subunit ribosomal RNA
Source: RNAcentral